RNAcentral lists this non-coding RNA (31 nucleotides) under Rattus norvegicus (Norway rat). Lineage: Eukaryota; Metazoa; Chordata; Mammalia; Rodentia; Muridae. The record is from RNAcentral.
UAUACUCUGAGGUCUGGACUUGUGUUGUCCU